UGCCAGCAGCCGCGGUAAUACGGAUGGUCCAAGCGUUGUCCGGAUUUACUGGGCGUAAAGCGCGCGUAGGCGGAUUGGAAAGUUGGGGGUGAAAUCCCGGGGCUCAACCCCGGAACUGCCUCCAAAACUGCCAGUCUAGAGUUCGAGAGAGGUGAGUGGAACUCCAAGUGUAGAGGUGAAAUUCGUAGAUAUUUGGAAGAACACCAGUGGCGAAGGCGGCUCACUGGCUCGAUACUGACGCUGAGGUGCGAAAGUGUGGGGAGCAAACAGGAUUAGAUA
Molecule: ribosomal RNA, 279 nt
Filed under: uncultured bacterium
Lineage: Bacteria
Description: partial 16S ribosomal RNA
Rfam family: Bacterial small subunit ribosomal RNA
Source: RNAcentral